Molecule: transfer RNA, 71 nt
Filed under: Marmota monax (woodchuck)
Lineage: Eukaryota; Metazoa; Chordata; Mammalia; Rodentia; Sciuridae
Description: tRNA.Thr
Source: RNAcentral
GGGGUUGUGGCUCAGAGGUGGAGUGCUCGCCUAGUAUGCGUGAAAUAUUGGGUUCGAUCUUCAGCACCACA